GCCCACAUAGCUCAGCAGGUAGAGCACAUCCAUGGUAAGGAUGGGGUCGUUGGUUCAAUUCCAAUUGUGGGCUCCA
Molecule: transfer RNA, 76 nt
Filed under: Candidatus Margulisiibacteriota bacterium
Lineage: Bacteria; Bacillati; Candidatus Margulisiibacteriota
Description: tRNA-Thr
Rfam family: tRNA
About the family: Transfer RNA (tRNA) molecules are approximately 80 nucleotides in length. Their secondary structure includes four short double-helical elements and three loops (D, anti-codon, and T loops).
Source: RNAcentral